Molecule: ribosomal RNA, 253 nt
Filed under: uncultured bacterium
Lineage: Bacteria
Description: partial 16S ribosomal RNA
Rfam family: Bacterial small subunit ribosomal RNA
Source: RNAcentral
UACGUGGGGGGCAAGCGUUGUUCGGAAUUACUGGGCGUAAAGGGCUCGUAGGCGGCCAACUAAGUCAGACGUGAAAUCCCCAGGCUCAACCUGGGAACUGCGUCUGAUACUGGAUGGCUUGAAUUCGGGAGAGGGAUGCAGAAUUCCAGGUGUAGCGGUGAAAUGCGUAGAUGUCUGGAGGAAUACCGGUGGCGAAGGCGGCAUCCUGGACCGACAUUGACGCUGAGGAGCGAAAGCCAGGGGAGCAAACGGG